This 1490-nucleotide ribosomal RNA is filed under the name Phialophora verrucosa. RNAcentral describes it as "SSU rRNA". It matches the Rfam family "Eukaryotic small subunit ribosomal RNA", at positions 230 to 1434 of the family's 1831-position model. The record is from RNAcentral. Lineage: Eukaryota; Fungi; Ascomycota; Eurotiomycetes; Chaetothyriales; Herpotrichiellaceae.
CCCUCUGGGCUCCUUGGUGAUUCAUAAUAACUUAACGAAUCGCAUGGCCUUGCGCCGGCGAUGGUUCAUUCAAAUUUCUGCCCUAUCAAUUUUCGAUGGUAGAGUAGUGGUCUACCAUGAUCUUAACGGGUAACGGGGAAUUAGGGUUCUAUUCCGGAGAAGGAGCCUGAGAAACGGCUACUACAUCCAAGGAAGGCAGCAGGCGCGCAAAUUACCCAAUGCUAAUUCAGCGAGGUAGUGACAAUAAAUACUGAUACGGGGCUCUUUCGGGUCUCGUAAUUGGAAUGAGUACAAUCUAAAUCCCUUAACGAGGAACAAUUGGAGGGCAAGUCUGGUGCCAGCAGCCGCGGUAAUUCCAGCUCCAAUAGCGUAUAUUAAAGUUGUUGCCGUUAAAAAGCUCGUAGUUGAACCUUGGACCUGGCUGAUCUGUCCUCCUAAUCGAGCGCACGGAUUCGGUCGGGUCUUUCCUUCUGGGGAGCCCUAUGCCCUUCACUGGGUGUAGUGGGGAACCAGGACUUUUACCUUGAAAAAAUUAGAGUGUUCAAAGCAGGCCUUUGCUCGAAUACAUUAGCAUGGAAUAAUAGAAUAGGACAUCGGUUCUAUUUUGUUGGUUUCUAGGACCGCUGUAAUGAUUAAUAGGGAUAGUCGGGGGGCGUCAGUAUUCAAUUGUCAGAGGUGAAAUUCUUGGAUUUAUUGAAGACUAACUACUGCGAAAGCAUUCGCCAAGGAUGUUUUCAUUAAUCAGUGAACGAAAGUUAGGGGAUCGAAGACGAUCAGAUACCGUCGUAGUCUUAACCAUAAACUAUGCCGACUAGGGAUCGGACGGUGGUUUUUUUAUGCCCCGUUCGGCACCUUACGAGAAAUCAAAGUUUUUGGGCUCGGGGGGGAGUAUGGUCGCAAGGCUGAAACUUAAAGAAAUUGACGGAAGGGCACCACCAGGCGUGGAGCCUGCGGCUUAAUUUGACUCAACACGGGGAAACUCACCAGGUCCAGACAUGCUUAGGAUUGACAGAUUGAUAGCUCUUUCUUGAUUGUAUGGGUGGUGGUGCAUGGCCGUUCUUAGUUGGUGGAGUGAUUUGUCUGCUUAAUUGCGAUAACGAACGAGACCUUGACCUGCUAAAUAGCCAGGUUGACUUUUGUCGGCCGCCGGCUUCUUAGAGGGACUUUUGGCUCAAGCCAAUGGAAGUACGAGGCAAUAACAGGUUAACCUUUGGGAGUUACAUUCCAUCACAGGCCUGUAAGAGUGAACCUCGAUAAAAAAUCACUAGUCAAGCAUCGUUCCUCUUGGUGGAAGUUCCACCUAUAGUCGGGAGAGGAGCAGCCGUACAGCGGUUGUCGAUGCUGGCGAGACAACCUGGUUCACGGGACGCUUCUCCAUACUCUUCGGUGUGGAUGCCAAUCCUGAGGCGAGCCAAAGUAGCGUUUGGCCGUCGCAACGCGCGCAAAGGUGUCGGCCCUACGCUCGAGAGAGCUGGGGUUUGAGUACGUGC